RNAcentral lists this unclassified non-coding RNA (537 nucleotides) under Dicephalospora rufocornea. Its description in RNAcentral is "partial contains ITS1, 5.8S rRNA, ITS2". The stretch from base 189 to 342 matches the Rfam family "5.8S ribosomal RNA". The record is from RNAcentral. Lineage: Eukaryota; Fungi; Ascomycota; Leotiomycetes; Helotiales; Helotiaceae.
GCGGAAGGAUCAUUACAGGGUUUAUUUCCUGCCCUUCCAGGGUAGAAACCCCAUCCUUGUGUAUAUUAUGUUUGUUGCUUUGGCGGGCUGCCCCCCUAGGGGGGCCUGGGCUUCGGCUCGGCUACGCCCGCCAGAGGACCCCUUAACUCUGAAUUGUUAGUGUCGUCUGAGUACUAUUUAAUAGUUAAAACUUUCAACAACGGAUCUCUUGGUUCUGGCAUCGAUGAAGAACGCAGCGAAAUGCGAUAAGUAAUGUGAAUUGCAGAAUUCAGUGAAUCAUCGAAUCUUUGAACGCACAUUGCGCCCCUUGGUAUUCCGAGGGGCAUGCCUGUUCGAGCGUCAUUGAAAAACUCCUGCCCUGCAGGGUCUUGGGCUCCGUCGCGGGACGGGCCUGAAAACCAGUGGCGGCGUCCGUCGACCCUAAGCGUAGUCAAUCUCCUCGCUACAGGGCCUCGACGGGUGGCUAGCCAUAACCCCAACUCUCAAUGUUUGACCUCGGAUCAGGUAGGGAUACCCGCUGAACUUAAGCAUAUCAAU